RNAcentral lists this long non-coding RNA (1497 nucleotides) under Hordeum vulgare. Its description in RNAcentral is "long non-coding RNA (HVUL_LNC020332)". The record is from RNAcentral. Lineage: Eukaryota; Viridiplantae; Streptophyta; Magnoliopsida; Poales; Poaceae.
GCACCGCAAAAAAUAUUUCCUUUAUCCAGUUUACGUCACUGAGUUACAUUCCAAGCCGUCGAGAAGAUCAAUCGAAUUGGUCAGCUAGCUCAUCAUACAUACGUACGUAUUGGAUAUCCACCUGUGUGCCUGUUAGCUUCACAAGCUAGCUUAGCACGUAGGAGUGCUGCUGCUGGUUUGAUCUAAGCUAGGGUUCAAAACCGACAUGUGUAGUAAGACCUCAUGCUCGUGCAUCUUACGUUCAUCCUGACUGGUUUUCCCGGUGACCUUUCUCUCUCUCAAAUAUUCCCGCCAGCGACUUUCGUGCAGAAUGCCUUUGGGACCGAUGCAAACAGGCCUCUCGUCACACUAGUCCCUUAGUUUAUUUGCGGUGAUUCUACCUUAUAGGUUUCUAUAAGUGGUAAAACAAGGCAGAUGCGAUUGACCACUCUCUUUUCAAGUUUCAAGGCUACCAAAUGCUACAAAUAGAGCACCUUCAGCAUGCCUUUGCAGGUCCAAGCGGAACCUGUAGGACAAGCAUGUACUGAAGUGCAUCCGCAUAUAUACCUCUUGGAAAAUGGACAGAGAAAUAGAAUGUGAAACAAGAGGAAAUUGGGAAUUGUGAUCAGACAGCAGUCAAAAAAUGUCUAGUUUACUUUCCAUACACAUGCGAGUAUAGGAAUUAAUCUGGCGCCAGUUUUAAUGAGAGCUCCACAUGUGUUCCAUGAACAAACAUUUUCACGCCAUCAUAAGUAACUCUGCUUCAGAAUCCAUGCAAUAGGUCAUCAAAGACUACCACAGAGUUAACUCUACCCAAAACAAGUGUAGAUGAAAUUACAGAUCCCAUUUCUGAAUUACAAUUUAGCCAAUUCACGUCGUGGAGGGCAUUUUUUUAUCAGUUUCACACUAUUAUUAUUAAAGUUUUAAAUAGCGAGCUAAUAUCAUUUAGCGACGGUUGAAUCAAAAGAUAUGAAAUGCUAUAGCAAAGGAGAGACCCAUCUAGAAUUUUUGCUCAAAUAUUGAACGAAAUAGAAAAUUAGGCAAUGGCUUUAAAUUGAGUGCUAUACCGGGACAUAGCAAGUUAUUAGCACACAACAGAGAAAUCCGCGACGGCGGCGAAGCGCGGCCGCUGGUGGUGCCUCCCCCCUCUCCUCCCCGAUGCAACCUGCCUCUCAUGCCCCGCUGGUGCUGCCUCCUCUUCCAGUCGUGCCACCCCGGGAGGCUAAGCGGACGUCUCCCAUCACCACGGUUGUCGGCUCUGCCAACCUCUUUGGCCAAAUGCCGUAGAAGUAAAAAAAAUCAUUUUUUAUUAAAUAUGAUGUGUUCUUACAUUAUUAUUUUUUUGCAAUCGUGACGUGAUAUGUGUUUACCAUGUUGAUGUUUGUUGUAUGUAGUGUGGAUGAUGAGACUUUCUUGCAUUACACUUGUGUUGCACCGAUAAUUCCAUCACAUGAAAUUCCAUCACACGUUCUUGACGACAUGGAAGAUGACGGAUUUGUUGAUCCAACUCCAUCGUAG